RNAcentral lists this long non-coding RNA (768 nucleotides) under Struthio camelus australis. RNAcentral describes it as "lncRNA (ENSSCUG00000015125.1)". The record is from RNAcentral. Lineage: Eukaryota; Metazoa; Chordata; Aves; Struthioniformes; Struthionidae.
GGGAGCUGAGCAGAGAGCUGUGAGCACUGAGCGUGACAGGGAAGCCCAAGCCCACACAGACAUACCAAAAAACCUGCAAACAAACCUAGAGUAUGCAGCACUCUUGCGGAAUCAUCACUUUACUGAACAGAGGACAUUUGGCAGAAGCUGCCUGCUCCAUUAGACGGGUGCUCCACAGUCCGUGGCACCUUGCUGGACUCUUCCAAGCAUCACCUUGCGGAUGGGUCAUCUCACACAGCAGAGAAAACUGAAGGGCUCCAGAGGGCUGGCAACACACCGAGGAUGGCUGCAAGUCCUAGAGGGUCCCACAUACCCAGGAGCAGGGCUGGAGAGUACAGAGCGCCAGUUUACAUCAUCCUUCACCAUCUGCAGCCCACUGAGCCACAUUCCUGGGCUUGCCAAGCUCCCUGGCUGUAAAACAUACCUGGAGUCCUCAGGCUCUGACCUGCGCGGGGUGACACUGGUGUUGUGCAAAUGUCACUCCCAGCCUAGGCAGGCUCAGUGACCUCCACCUCCCCAGAGAGGUGGAAUAUUAUCCAGACCACACCAGCUCGACAAAUGACCUAGGUUUGACACCAGCCAUAGGACAUCUUUCUUUCAGUAGGUCUGGCAGAGCACAGUGGCCUAACAGGUAUGGCUACUUAAGUGUGUUACUUCGGACCAGGAGUGCGCUUUUGAAGCAAGUGUCUCGACUGUCCCUAUUAUCACCAUGCUUUGCUACAUCAAAGUAGUAAAAGAACAAGAUUCCCUUUGGAUGAAAUUAAGCCA